This 324-nucleotide unclassified non-coding RNA is filed under the name uncultured fungus. RNAcentral's name for it is "sequence contains ITS2". Lineage: Eukaryota; Fungi. The record is from RNAcentral.
AACGCAUCUUGCACUCUGGGGUAUUCCCUAGGGUAUGUCUGUCUGAGUGUUAUUUGAACUCUCAAAGUUCCUUUUCUUUAAUCGGAUGAGGGUGCUUUGGAUUAUGGGUGUUUGCGGGCUUGGCCUGCUUGCCUCAAAUCGAAUGUGGCAGUCUUCUCUGAAGCCACCGUCAGGUUUGACCCGGAGUGAUAGAAGUCUUUCGAGAUCUCUGGGGAACCGCCUUUGAGGCGGUGCCUGGUGUGGUGGGAGUGGAGUGAGUGUUUUUCAACAGACUUAUUUGACGUUUUUGACCUCAGAUCAGGCAGGACUACCCGCUGAACUUAA